GGAACUCCAUGUGUAGUGGUGAAAUGCGUAGAUAUAUGGAAGAACACCAGUGGCGAAGGCGGCUGUCUGGUCUGUAACUGACGCUGAGGCUCGAAAGUAUGGGUAGCAAACAGGAUUAGAUGCCCUGGUAGUCCAUACCGUAAACGAUGAAUGCUAAGUGUUGGAGGGUUUCCCCCUUCAGUGCUGCAGCUAACGCAUUAAGCAUUCCGCCUGGGGAGUACGGCCGCAAGGCUGAAACUCAAAGGAAUUGACGGGGGCCCGCACAAGCGGUGGAGCAUGUGGUUUAAUUCGAAGCUACGCGAAGAACCUUACCAGGUCUUGACAUACUAUGCAAAUCUAAGAGAUUAGACGUUCCCUUCGGGGACAUGGAUACAGGUGGUGCAUGGUUGUCGUCAGCUCGUGUCGUGAGAUGUUGGGUUAAGUCCCGCAACGAGCGCAACCCUUAUUAUCAGUUGCCAGCAUUAAGUUGGGCACUCUGGUGAGACUGCCGGUGACAAACCGGAGGAAGGUGGGGAUGACGUCAAAUCAUCAUGCCCCUUAUGACCUGGGCUACACACGUGCUACAAUGGAUGGUACAACGAGUUGCGAACUCGCGAGAGUAAGCUAAUCUCUUAAAGCCAUUCUCAGUUCGGAUUGUAGGCUGCAACUCGCCUACAUGAAGUCGGAAUCGCUAGUAAUCGCGGAUCAGCAUGCCGCGGUGAAUACGUUCCCGGGCCUUGUACACACCGCCCGUCACACCAUGAGAGUUUGUAACACCCAAAGUCGGUGGGGUAACCUUUAGGAACCAGCCGCCUAAGGUGGGACAGAUGAUUAGGGUGAAGUCGUAACAAGGUAACCA
RNAcentral lists this ribosomal RNA (838 nucleotides) under uncultured Lactobacillus sp. RNAcentral describes it as "bacterial SSU rRNA". It matches the Rfam family "Bacterial small subunit ribosomal RNA", at positions 663 to 1502 of the family's 1533-position model. Lineage: Bacteria; Bacillati; Bacillota; Bacilli; Lactobacillales; Lactobacillaceae. The record is from RNAcentral.